UACGUAGGGUGCGAGCGUUAAUCGGAAUUACUGGGCGUAAAGCGUGCGCAGGCGGUUUGCUAAGACAGGUGUGAAAUCCCCGGGCUUAACCUGGGAACUGCGCUUGUGACUGGCAGGCUAGAGUACGGCAGAGGGGGGUGGAAUUCCUGGUGUAGCAGUGAAAUGCGUAGAUAUGCGGAGGAACACCGAUGGCGAAGGCAAUCCCCUGGGCCUGCACUGACGCUCAUGCACGAAAGCGUGGGGAGCAAACAGGAUUAGAUACCCUGGUAGUCCACGCCCUAAACGAUGUCGACUAGUCGUUCGGAGCAGCAAUGCACUGAGUGACGCAGCUAACGCGUGAAGUCGACCGCCUGGGGAGUACGGCCGCAAGGUUA
RNAcentral lists this ribosomal RNA (374 nucleotides) under uncultured bacterium. RNAcentral describes it as "bacterial SSU rRNA". It matches the Rfam family "Bacterial small subunit ribosomal RNA", at positions 524 to 896 of the family's 1533-position model. The record is from RNAcentral.